AACGAACGCUGGCGGCAGGCUUAACACAUGCAAGUCGAGCGCCCCGCAAGGGGAGUGGCAGACGGGUGAGUAACGCGUGGGAAUCUACCCAGCUCUACGGAAUAACUCAGGGAAACUUGUGCUAAUACCGUAUACGUCCGAUAGGAGAAAGAUUUAUCGGAGUUGGAUGAGCCCGCGUUGGAUUAGCUAGUUGGUGGGGU
RNAcentral lists this ribosomal RNA (200 nucleotides) under uncultured bacterium. Its description in RNAcentral is "partial 16S ribosomal RNA". It matches the Rfam family "Bacterial small subunit ribosomal RNA", at positions 29 to 258 of the family's 1533-position model. The record is from RNAcentral.